GGUCCAGACUCCUACGGGAGGCAGCAGUAGGGAAUCUUCCGCAAUGGGCGAAAGCCUGACGGAGCAACGCCGCGUGAGUGAUGAAGGUCUUCGGAUCGUAAAACUCUGUUAUUAGGGAAGAACAUACGUGUAAGUAACUAUGCACGUCUUGACGGUACCUAAUCAGAAAGCCACGGCUAACUACGUGCCAGCAGCCGCGGUAAUACGUAGGUGGCAAGCGUUAUCCGGAAUUAUUGGGCGUAAAGCGCGCGUAGGCGGUUUUUUAAGUCUGAUGUGAAAGCCCACGGCUCAACCGGGGAGGGUCAUUGGAAACUGUAAAACUUGAGUGCAGAAGAGGAAAGUGGAAUUCCAUGUGUAGCGGUGAAAUGCGCAGAGAUAUGGAGGAACACCAGUGGCGAAGGCGACUUUCUGGUCUGUAACUGACGCUGAUGUGCGAAAGCGUGGGGAUCAAACAGGAUUAGAUACCCUGGUAGUCCACGCCGUAAACGAUGAGUGCUAAGUGUUAGGGGGUUUCCGCCCCUUAGUGCUGCAGCUAACGCAUUAAGCACUCCGCCUGGGGAGUACGACCGCAAGGUUGAAACUCAAAGGAAUUGACGGGGACCCG
This 604-nucleotide ribosomal RNA is filed under the name Staphylococcus haemolyticus. RNAcentral's name for it is "bacterial SSU rRNA". It matches the Rfam family "Bacterial small subunit ribosomal RNA", at positions 328 to 923 of the family's 1533-position model. The record is from RNAcentral. Lineage: Bacteria; Bacillati; Bacillota; Bacilli; Caryophanales; Staphylococcaceae.